Molecule: ribosomal RNA, 237 nt
Filed under: uncultured bacterium
Lineage: Bacteria
Description: partial 16S ribosomal RNA
Rfam family: Bacterial small subunit ribosomal RNA
Source: RNAcentral
UACGAAGGGGGCUAGCGUUGUUCGGAUUUACUGGGCGUAAAGCGCACGUAGGCGGAUCUUUAAGUCAGAGGUGAAAUCCCAAGGCUCAACCUUGGAACUGCCUUUGAUACUGGGGAUCUCGAGUUCGGGAGAGGUGAGUGGAACUGCGAGUGUAGAGGUGAAAUUCGUAGAUAUUCGGAAGAACACCAGUGGCGAAGGCGACUCACUGGCCCGAUACUGACGCUGAGGCACGAAAGC